This is a long non-coding RNA of Drosophila mojavensis, 1728 nucleotides long. RefSeq lists it as uncharacterized. NCBI's taxonomy places the organism in Eukaryota, Metazoa, Arthropoda, Insecta, Diptera, Drosophilidae. The transcript is spliced from 2 exons. The record is from RefSeq and is a predicted model, not a curated record.
AUAGGGUAUAUUCAGCAAUGCUACACCCUGUAAAUGCGGUCCAUUGGCCAAGUCUAAGGCAACGCCAUCGCACUAUUGAUUGGAGAUAAAUAGGAGGCAGCGAAAGUCUCGGAUGUUGCAUAUUCGAAAUACCAAAGUUUGUUCUUCAUGCGGCUAUUGAAUUUAUGCGGAUUUUUCUCGCGCUCCAAAUGGAAUUUCACACAAAUUGCGGCGUCCUGCAAUAGAGGGAGAAAAGUCAGCAUAGAAAGCAAAUCAGAAAUUGCAUUCGCACCUCUAGUGCAGGUGAUAUGCACAAAUAAAUGCAGAGAUACAAACAUGUGGGACGUGCUUCAAAACUUAUUGCCAGCUGCAGUGGCCUGUCAGUUCGAUUGCCUCGCCUCCUGAUAGUCAUGGCGCAUGCAUAACGCAUACGCAGCGUAGGCCACAGCUCUAUUAUGUGAAACACAUUCAGGCAGUGCACGCAAUGCAUGCAGUGCAUGUAAGCGAGCUGGCAGAAUUUUAAUUUUUGCAUAUUCGGCUAGCGACGCAGCACUUGACACAGCAGCAGUCGGAGUGCUGGCCAAAUAUGCAAAAAUUGAGGCUGAACGGCAGGCGGAGUGGGAACAGGACGAGGAGUAGCAACAGGUAGUGAGGAGGACGAGCAGCAAGAGUUGAAGAAGGAGAGUGCAGAUGCUGGAGCAAACGAACGAGCGAUAGGAGCGAAUGUGACAGCAAAACCCAGGAGGAGGCUAAAACCGCAGCCGGAACAAGUGCUUGUGGCCCAGGGCUUUGAUUGCGCAUACGACACGUUGCACAUUUUGUAGGCGCAUUUAUUAUGCACGUCACAGCGCCCACACAACACACAGCACAGAGCACACACAAACAACCCCCAACACACACAUACACACACACACACCAACCCACGCUUGCCUUGCUGGAAAAAGGGAAGCCGCUAUGGCAUUUACGUUUUGUGGCUGUUGCUCUCACAAAGCAAAAUAAGAUUAAUUACACGGAUCCAAAGCCAAAAAUUGAAUUAUCAGGCUAAAGAGUGGGCGAGUGUGUGGAAGCGAGCUUGUGCGGCGCAGGUGGAAAACUUUUUAAUUAGCCCCAGCAGCUGCGAGUGCCAGCUCAACUAAAUUCAUAACUUAUAUGCCGAGGACCGCUUGAAGCCUUGGGCAACGGUUGCGACUGGACGCGCAUAAAAUGUGGCCCAUAAAAUUUUGUUAAACAAAUUGACAAACUGACACUAAAGGUCAUAAAGCCGCAAAGUAUGGGAUGAGCUGGAUCUGAAGAAGUCGUAAAACCUGUGAGCCUCAAACGCAAUAUAUAUGUAUGUAUAUGAAACGUGCCAAGUCCCAGGGAUCUGUUAUCGGUACUGCAAAAGAGCAAUUACAUAUAUUGUAUGUAUGCAUGUACAUGCACAUGUGUGUGUGUGCGCUUACCCCUUGCCCAGAACCUCAUGCUCUUCUCAUUUCAUCGUGUAAUGCAGAAAGUUCGCGCUUAACGUCAAUUGUUGACGUUAAACCAAAGCGUCAGUGUGAAAUACUUUGCCAUGCCGCAUUACUCAUACUCUGCAGACGCACACACACACACACACACUCACUCAACCUUUAAGCUGCUGCUGCUGCCGUUGUUGCUGCUGCCACUUGAACUAGCAUAUCAUACACACACACACACACGCACGCUCACAUAUAUGACAAGUUGCUGGGGAGUCCUCAAGAUGCUCUCUCCCACACACACACACACACA